This 253-nucleotide ribosomal RNA is filed under the name uncultured bacterium. RNAcentral describes it as "partial 16S ribosomal RNA". It matches the Rfam family "Bacterial small subunit ribosomal RNA", at positions 524 to 776 of the family's 1533-position model. The record is from RNAcentral.
UACGGAAGGGGCAAGCGUUGUUCGGAAUCAUUGGGCGUAAAGGGUGCGUAGGUGGCGUCGUAAGUCGGGUGUGAAAUCUCGGGGCUUAACUCCGAAACUGCAUUCGAUACUGCGGUGCUUGAGGACUGGAGAGGAGACUGGAAUUUACGGUGUAGCAGUGAAAUGCGUAGAGAUCGUAAGGAAGACCAGUGGCGAAGGCGGGUCUCUGGACAGUUCCUGACACUGAGGCACGAAGGCCAGGGGAGCAAACGGG